This is a non-coding RNA of Equus caballus (horse), 1806 nucleotides long. Lineage: Eukaryota; Metazoa; Chordata; Mammalia; Perissodactyla; Equidae. The record is from RefSeq and is a predicted model, not a curated record.
CUCCCCCGCAAGAGGCCUGCGCCCCUCAGCUGGCGGGUGGGGGGCCCGUGAGGGGUGUGGGAGAGGCUGAUAGACCUAGAAGGGCAGAAGAUGGGCAGGCCCGCCAACCCCUUCACUAGGGCAGCUGGCAUGUCUGGAACCUCCCUUUCAACCCUUGGGUGCCAGCCUCCUCCUGGGGGUGCUCAGGGGACACAGCAGAGGAGAGGACCCCAUUUAGUUUGAGGGUCUCCUUUUUGCUCCAAGGAGAGACUUUGGGUUAUUUCCUAAGGGACAAGGCCUGUUCCCAAGACAGGCUCCAAAUCCCUUUUUUUCUAAAGAUUCUCUGAAAGUGGUAGAGUUUGGGAGGGCUCAGGCAAAGACCAGGAGCCCACCAGGCAGGCCUAGAGGAAGAGGGUCUCUAGGCAGGCAGGGAGGGUGGAAGGGGGCCCUUGGGCACAGAUAGCAAUCCUGGCCAGAGCUGGUAUGGCCUGGUGUAUCCAGACCUGCUCAAGUAUGUCCACGGGCACCUGUUUUCUAGCUCUGUGCCUCAGUUUCCCUCUGGACUAGUGUGGGCCCUUUACCGUCCCCUGUGGGUGAGGGUGGGGCCUCAAGUUUAUAAACAACAGGGUGAGUUCCAGGAAGGGUCUGGUGUGCUCUGAGUUUCCACUUGCUGUAUACACUCUAACCCUGGCACCAUCAGCUUCACCCAGCUUCUGCCCCCUUGUCCCCGCCCCCAUCCCCACUCUGAUUCAUCCCCCUCCUCACACCACCCACACCCCCACACACAAGGGGUUUGUGUUUUGUCAGGAGCCUCAUGUCAACUCAGCCAUCUCCCUGGCAGCAACAGCUGCCAGCCCAAAAUACCAGAGCUGGUAUUUAUAGAGGAGAAUGCAUCGGGUCCAGGAAACAAGUGCACAGGAGAGGAGCUCUGGGGGGCGGGGGCCGGGUACCUGAGGAGGCAGGGGUGUCAGAUGGCGGAGGAAGGCUUGGGGUGAUACGUGACUGCACGUCCCACCCCCACAAUGCUCCAAGCCCCCAGCAGGAAUAGAGCCCCGUGGAGGACUUGCCCAUCCCUUCACAGCCCCCUCCUUGGUGCGAGGCCCUGGCUGUGCCCUAAGGACAUCCCCACUUCUCCGGGAACACUGGCUGUCUCUUUACACCUCCACCUAGCACUCUACAGGCCUCUCUUAGGUCUGACCCUUUUGGAAUGCCACUCUGGGAAACACAGUGCUGGUCUUUCCGUAGCUCUGCCAUCACCAGCACGUUAAUUUCAAGCAGGCCAGCUCUUCACUGCUCUGUGUCCUCAGCCCUAAAGUGGGAAUAGUCAGCCUUGCCAUGUCUACCCUGUGAAGGUGUGAAGAGGCUCAAGCAACAAUAUGCAACUCCCAAACUGGAUUGUAGGCUCCUGGAGAAUUUUGGCGACUGUGUGGAUCCUUAGCACAUCCUAGGCAGCCCCGUCUUUGUUGUUAUUCAAGUUAAAAUCAACAUCUACCAGACUUGGCUCAGAACCACUUGGGGCUGUUUCAAAAUUCAGUUCCACUCCUGAGGAUUUGCUGCCAUGGAGGACAGCAAAACAACACUCCGAGGCUUGGAAGGCAGGUGAAAGAGAAGUGCUCCAAAACACGUUCAGAACUGGGCAGCACCGCUGGAGUACGAGUUUAGCUUCCCCGGGGGAUUCCUUAGAAUUGGACAUAUUAAAAAUAAUAAUAAUUUAUCUGGAUGAGUAAUGUACUUGGUGCAAAAUUCAAGAGGUCCCAUUCUGUGGGUUGGCUUUUCAUUCUGUUGAUAGUAUCCUUUUUUUUUUUCCUGAGGAAGAUUAGCCCUGAG